Molecule: ribosomal RNA, 497 nt
Filed under: uncultured bacterium
Lineage: Bacteria
Description: partial 16S ribosomal RNA
Rfam family: Bacterial small subunit ribosomal RNA
Source: RNAcentral
GACGAACGCUGGCGGCGUGCCUAAUACAUGCAAGUCGAACGAGAGCGCCCGGUGCUUGCACUGGUCAAUCUAGUGGCGAACGGGUGAGUAACACGUGGGUAACCUGCCCAUCAGAGGGGGAUAACAUCCGGAAACGGAUGCUAAACCCCCUAGGUCUUCGAGCCGCCUGGCUUGAAGAGGAAAAGAAGCGCAAGCUUCUGCUGGUGGAUGGACCCGCGGUGCAUUAGCUAGUUGGUGAGGUAACGGCUCACCAAGGCCGUGAUGCAUAGCCGACCUGAGAGGGUGAUCGGCCACAUUGGGACUGAGACACGGCCCAAACUCCUACGGGAGGCAGCAGUAGGGAAUCUUCCGCAAUGGACGCAAGUCUGACGGAGCAACGCCGCGUGAGUGAAGAAGGUUUUCGGAUCGUAAAACUCUGUUGUUAGAGAAGAACAAGUGCUAGAGUAACUGUUAGCGCCUUGACGGUAUCUAACCAGAAAGCCACGGCUAACUACGUG